This 727-nucleotide non-coding RNA is filed under the name Centruroides limpidus. Lineage: Eukaryota; Metazoa; Arthropoda; Arachnida; Scorpiones; Buthidae. The record is from RNAcentral.
UUUUUUGGCUUAGUUUUGGCUGAGUGCUUUUUUUCAGGGAAGUUGAACUUAUAUUAGAAAAUUGGAGAUUUUUAUUUAGGUUUUAAUAUUAUAUACUUACUUUUAAGGUUUGGUUAUCUCUUUAGGUCUAGCAAAAAUAGUGCCAGCGGCUGCGGUUAUACUAUAAGAUCAAAUAAAGUUAAGUUUUAGAAUGAAAAUAUAUUUAAGAUUGAGGGAGGCUGUGAAAACUAAAGGUAAAAUUUAUGUUUUUUGGGUUUUUUAUUUUAGAUAUUUUAAAAAUUUUACAAUAGACCAGGAUUAGAUACCCUGUUAUUAAAAAGUAGAGGAUUCAGGUAGUAUUAGAUGACUUAAAACUUAAAAAAUUUGGCGGUGUUUUAAUCUUAUUAGAGGAACCUGUUUUUUAAUCGACAAUACUCGACAGAUCUUACUUGAGUUAAUGGCUUGUAUAUCGUUGUGGUAAUAAUGUUUUAUAAUUAUUAUUAGGGGUAAUUUUAUUUUUGAUAUCAGAUCAAGGUUCAGCUUAUGCUCAAGAGAAAAAUGGGUUACAAUAUAGAAAUAUAUUAUGGAGUUUAUAUUUUAAAAGUAAAUGAAGGUGGAUUUAAAAGUAUUUUUAUAGUAAUAUGUUAAUUUGAACUAGCUCUAAGACAUGUACAUAUCGCCCGUCACUCUCUCUUUAAUGAGAGAAAAGUCGUAACAUAGUAGGCAUAUCGGAAGAUGUUCCUAGAAG